CUGGCUUUGUGGCUUGGCCCUGACUUGCUGGCUGAGCUGGGGAACUCACUUGCUCUGUGUGGAUCUCUCCAUCUAUAAAAAUGGGAGUGUUGGAUGAAGGCCAUGCAAGUUCCUGCUAAAAUGUUAUCAUUACUUCUAUUGCAUAUGAAUGGUUUGGGUAGAAGGAGGGAGUGGUAAAUGGCCCCCGCCCAGCAGAGAUCUGGAUUGUUAACUACAGUGAGUUUACAUUCUAUGCACAGGUGGGGUGCAAGAAAGGGAAGAGCACCACGUGUGUGGAUAAUCAGCAAAAUAUUAACUCCACAGUAUCAGCGAGGGUAAAUGUGGUGAACAGCAAGGCAAGGAAACAGAACACUGACAGCAAGAGACUCUUGGCCACUGGUGCUUCUUGUGUUGCUUCAGCAAAUACAGUCCAGGGUGUGCCAUAGAGGCGUGGAGGACUCGGGGAGCAGAAGGGCCUCUGAAGGAGCUAAUGGAGACAGGAAGUGACUCCCUAGUGAGUCACAAAUAAGAGAGGGGAAAGAAGAGAUUCCAGUAGCUGUCAGGCAGGUCUGGAUUGGAAUCCUGAUUGUAAUCAUCUAUCAGUGGUGUGGCCUUAAGUCCUGCCACCUCCCUGACCCUCAACCUCGUCAUCUGUAAAAGCGAAAUGAGAAGCAGCUUCAUCGUGUGAGGUGAGAUGGAAUGAGGCCUCGAGAGGGUUCACCACAGACUGGUCUGAGGAUGAAGGCCCAGCCUGUGAUCAGGACCCGGCCGGCUGCUAUUCGCUGAGCACCGACCAAGUGGCACAAAAUCGCACUUUCCCCCUGCCUCAAACAAGCCCGAGGGCGGGGGGCUCCUGGGACCCCAUUCCAGGCACAGGCGAGUUGAGAAACUGGUCCAGGUCCGCGAAGACAGAGCCGGGUUACACCUGCUGGGAGCUUACAGUGAGCCGGUGCCUGGGGAAAGAGGGAAGUGUUUAGGAGUAUAUGCAUCUCGUACUGUGUGCAACUGUCUUGGAUGCAAAUAAGAACGCUGUAUUCUAUUACCACAAACAAUGACUUCAAAUCUGGU
RNAcentral lists this long non-coding RNA (1047 nucleotides) under Fukomys damarensis (Damara mole-rat). Its description in RNAcentral is "lncRNA (ENSFDAG00000023859.1)". The record is from RNAcentral. Lineage: Eukaryota; Metazoa; Chordata; Mammalia; Rodentia; Bathyergidae.